GAACUCUAGAAAUAUACGAAUCAUAUACUGAAGUUUUCAUAAUGUUAAAAACCCAUAUUUUGUAUUAGUUUUUAUUAGGGGACCACAAUGAAGCAUAUAAAUUUUAAAACGUCGUGUUUUUCUGUCGCGAACACUUCAAAAUGUUUGGAAAGUGUGAGUAGAGGUUGUAGGACGAAUUGUAUUGAAGCCAUAUCGAAUUGUUUCAAGAUAAUGCUGGGAACGGUACCAUCUAUUAAUCCACCACUAUUCCUAUUUUCAACCAAAUGUUCUUAGCAGUGCAGCGCAAGGAAAUGUAUGAAGAAAGCACGAUGUUUUCGUGACAGAUUUAACGCCGCAGUUUUAAAUAGAAAACGGUCUUGAUGACCAGAUACUAUAUGCCAAAUAUAUAUAGGUAAAAUAAAACUUCGCGAAUAUUUCAUA
Long non-coding RNA from Stomoxys calcitrans (stable fly), 420 nucleotides. RefSeq lists it as uncharacterized. The record is from RefSeq and is a predicted model, not a curated record. The transcript is spliced from 2 exons. NCBI's taxonomy places the organism in Eukaryota, Metazoa, Arthropoda, Insecta, Diptera, Muscidae.